Ceratobasidium sp. 414 is the source of this 83-nucleotide non-coding RNA. Lineage: Eukaryota; Fungi; Basidiomycota; Agaricomycetes; Cantharellales; Ceratobasidiaceae. The record is from the annotation of a GenBank genome assembly.
ACGUCGGUGGUGAAACGGUUAUCAUCCUUGCCUUCCAUUUGUCGAGGCAGCAAGGGGCGGGGGUUCGACUCCCUCCCGACGUA